Mustela erminea (ermine) is the source of this 188-nucleotide small nuclear RNA. RefSeq annotates it as U2 spliceosomal RNA. The transcript has a single exon. NCBI's taxonomy places the organism in Eukaryota, Metazoa, Chordata, Mammalia, Carnivora, Mustelidae. The record is from RefSeq and is a predicted model, not a curated record.
AUCGCUUCUCGGCCUUUUGGCUAAGAUCAAGUGAAGCAUCUGCUUUUAUUUUUUUUUAUUUUUUUUUUUUUUUAAGAUUUUUUCUUUAUUUAUCUGACAGAGAUCACAAGUAGGCAGAGAGGCAGGCAGAGAGAGAGGAGGAAGCAGGCUCCCUGCAGCGCAGAGAGCCCGAUGUGGGCCUUGAUCCC